Non-coding RNA from Pelobates cultripes (western spadefoot toad), 233 nucleotides. NCBI's taxonomy places the organism in Eukaryota, Metazoa, Chordata, Amphibia, Anura, Pelobatidae. The record is from the annotation of a GenBank genome assembly.
UAGAGUUAGGGGGUGACUAGUGACAGAGUGAGGGAAGGGGUGACUAGUGGCAGAGUGAGGAAAGGAAGGGGUGACUAGUGACAGAGUGAGGGAGGUGGUGACUGUCACUAGUCACCACCUUCCUCACUCCGUCACUAGUCACCACCUCCCUCACUCUGUCACUACUCCCUCUCUCUUUCUGUCACUAGUCACCCCCUCCGUCCCUUACUCUGUCACUAGUCACCCCCUAACUC